Molecule: ribosomal RNA, 450 nt
Filed under: uncultured bacterium
Lineage: Bacteria
Description: partial 16S ribosomal RNA
Rfam family: Bacterial small subunit ribosomal RNA
Source: RNAcentral
CCUACGGGGGGCUGCAGUAGGGAAUAUUGGACAAUGGGCGAAAGCCUGAUCCAGCCAUGCCGCGUGAUAGAUGAAGGCCCUCUGGGUUGUAAAUAUCUUUUAUCUGGGCAGAAACAAUCUUAUUCUUAAGAUCUUGACGGUACCAGAGGAAUAAGCACCGGCUAACUCCGUGCCAGCAGCCGCGGUAAUACGGAGGGUGCAAGCGUUAUCCGGUUUCACUGGGUUGUAGGGGUGCUGAUACGGGAGGGGUGAAAGCUCCGGGCUUAACUUGGAAACUGCCAGUGAUACUGCCAGUCUUGAAUGUCGUAGAGGUAAGCGGAAUGUUGCAUGUAGCGGUGAAAUGCUUAGAUAUGUUACAGAACACCAAUUGCGAAGGCAGCUUACUAUGCGAUGAUUGACGCUGAGGCACGAAAGCGUGGGGAGCAAACAGGAUUAGAUACCCGUGUAGUC